CGAAUUUAGAAUUAAAAUAACCCAUCAAUAUUUUCUCAGAAACAUCUUUGCUAGACAUAAUUUUAAUGUUGUGAAAUAAUUAUUGGAAUAAUGAAAUAAUCCCCUAUACUAGGCACAUAAAUGUGCAGAAAAAAGAAAUAUUUACAAUAAAAUUUCAAAGAAGUUACUGUUACCACUAAUAAUCCGAUUCUCGAACAAGAACUUAAAUUUGG
Molecule: unclassified non-coding RNA, 212 nt
Filed under: Hevea brasiliensis (rubber tree)
Lineage: Eukaryota; Viridiplantae; Streptophyta; Magnoliopsida; Malpighiales; Euphorbiaceae
Source: RNAcentral